ACCCAGAGGAACGAGGCGCUGAGGUUUAGCCUUAUAGUGUCACCGGUGCGCUGCAAGAAACGGAUACAAAUAACUACCGAGUCUCCCCGCAAAGCAUUAUGGGUAACAGACGCCAUAUGCCUGAUUCUCUGCCCUCAGUUUGGACUCACAGGAGAGGACUGUCUGCCUUCAGGUAUAACUUCAGCUAAAUAAAGAAUUAAGAGAUCUUCAUUGCCAGGAGUCUUUAGUGGUUUACAGUGUGAUUGUUCAUGAGGGAUACGGCCUGAGGGAGGAAGCUGCUCCGGUGCCGGGAUGUUCUGGUGCUCAGAGCUCUGAAGCGCCAGCCAGAGGGCAGUAGGUGGUGACCCAGAUAUUAGGUCACACGUGGGGACAUACCAACGGGCCAAAAAGCUCAAAUGUAAACAAGCCCAUCGUUCCCGCUUGGCUGGGCCUCUGGAAAUUUCCACCUCGAUGACAGUGCAGAGAGCUCCACCAGAGAGAGCUCCACCAGAGGAGCUCCACAACAAACCCUGCCCUACAGUAGCCCCGAGGCCACGCCCACUGAGCGAACCCUCUCAUGUCGACGCCUCCUAUUGGCUCAUUCGAAGGUGUGCCAAUCAAAGUGACGUCAGAGGCUAAAUAAGUAUAUAUAUGUAAAUAUAUGUCCUUCUUGUUAAAAAAAAUAAUGUAUCCAAAUUAAAUAAACUUGUAAUGUCACUGAAUGUAAA
Long non-coding RNA from Notolabrus celidotus (New Zealand spotty), 707 nucleotides. RefSeq lists it as uncharacterized. The record is from RefSeq and is a predicted model, not a curated record. NCBI's taxonomy places the organism in Eukaryota, Metazoa, Chordata, Actinopteri, Labriformes, Labridae. The transcript is spliced from 3 exons.